RNAcentral lists this ribosomal RNA (179 nucleotides) under uncultured bacterium. RNAcentral's name for it is "partial 16S ribosomal RNA". It matches the Rfam family "Bacterial small subunit ribosomal RNA", at positions 1326 to 1500 of the family's 1533-position model. The record is from RNAcentral.
CUGGAAUCGCUAGUAAUCGCGGAUCAGCACGCCGCGGUGAAUACGUUCCCGGGCCUUGUACACACCGCCCGUCACACCAUGGAAGUCUGCAAUGCCCGAAGCCGGUGGCCUAACCACUUGUGUGGAAGGAGCCGUCUAAGGCAGGGCAGAUGACUGGGGUGAAGUCGUAACAAGGUACC